Molecule: long non-coding RNA, 1446 nt
Organism: Phalaenopsis equestris
Lineage: Eukaryota; Viridiplantae; Streptophyta; Magnoliopsida; Asparagales; Orchidaceae
Exons: 3
Source: RefSeq, a predicted model, not a curated record
AUUAACAUUUUUCUUAUUUAGAAAAGGGUAUUCAUCCUCUUAUUAACCGAUCUUUAUAAUUUUGUUUUUAUAUAUUUGAUGUAUCUUUGUCAUAUCUUUAAAUGAAUCCUUGGUGUGCUUGUGCGAAAAAUGUAUAGAGGUGAUGAUGUUGAUGCCUGGGCAUGCAUAAGCCUUUGUCUUCGUAGUAUGAAUAUCAUUCAGGACUUCUUUCGUGAUCUAGUUUCCAUGUGCGACAACAUUAAAAUUGUUUUACCUUUUUUUCCUUUUGCCUUGAAUUGUGAUUAUACCAUUUAUGGGCUACUCAUUAUUGUUUAAAUGUAGAUUUUCAAUCAAAAUUUUGUGAACAUCUAUUUACCUUUGCCGUCACAAAUAAAAACUAGCUUAUAUGAAUUGCACCGCUGGUCUGUUGAAGUCUUGAAGCGGCUGAACCUGAAGCAUAAGCAGCUUCAAUUGCUAGUUGUUGUUUUUCCAGAAGCUAAGGUUUUGUAAUGGCUAAAAGAAAUAUGUGAUACCGAGCUUGUUAUUGUUACUCAGUGCUGCCAGACAAGGCACCCACUACCCAUGGAAGUUAAACAAUACUUGAAAAUUUAGCUUUGAAAAUGAACGUGAAGUAAAGUAUUUAUACUUGAUUUGGUGGUUCGGUGGCAUGGCAAUGGAGGUCUGACGGUGGCGGCAGCCAGACUGCGGUAGUCCGACAACGACGAUGGUGCAGGUUGUGCAGCGAUGGGCGACAAGUCAACGGUAGUUCUGCGGCGGGGGCAAGUCAACGGUAGUUCUGCGGCGGGGGUCGGAUGGUGGCGGUCCUACAAUGGCGAUGGUAAAGGCAGGGCAAUUGUGGUUGGAUGAUAUUGGUGGUCUUGCAGUGAUGGACAUAUGGAGGUAGUCUGACAUCGGUGAUGGCGGUGUCCAAGAAAUAGUGUUCUAGCGGAGGCUGCAAUCAAAUGAUGGUGGAUGGUCAGGCGAAGGUCGUAUCCAAACAUUGGUGGUUUGGUGACGAUGAUGAUUUUGGUCUAGCGGCAACAACUUCCAGACGGUAAUGACCCUAGAGUGGCGAUGACCAGAUGGCGGUGGUGCCAUGGAGACUACAAUGUAGGCCAGGCAACACUUGUCAGAUGACAGUUGUAGCCAAACAAAGGUGGUCCGACAACGACAACGAGAGUGGCUAGGAAGCGGUGUUCCAACUGCAACGACGGUAAUGGCCGAGUAGCAAUAGUCUGGAAAGUGCCAGAAGAUGGUGGUCCAACAGUAGUGACAAUGGUGGCUGGUGGUGGUGAUGCUCAGAAACCCUCAAGGUCUAGAGCUCUUUUAACCUCCUCUAGGUUGAGCCAUAGGUCCAGAUCUCAUUCUAGGCUUCGAUUCUGGUUCCCCCUUCAUGAACAGUAUGUAAGUUUAGUUAUAAAUUUUUUGAAUGUCUUCCUUCGUAAAUGUUGCAAGAAUCCUAACCAC